Non-coding RNA from Oreochromis niloticus (Nile tilapia), 45 nucleotides. The record is from Rfam. NCBI's taxonomy places the organism in Eukaryota, Metazoa, Chordata, Actinopteri, Cichliformes, Cichlidae.
ACAACGGCUCUUUUAAGAGCCACACACAUCUGAAGAGCUGACCCU